Molecule: non-coding RNA, 88 nt
Filed under: marine sediment metagenome
Also listed under: 1 other name
Description: c-di-GMP-I riboswitch aptamer
Rfam family: c-di-GMP-I riboswitch aptamer
About the family: GEMM was predicted in a large-scale screen for bacterial structured RNA regulatory elements. Genes associated with GEMM are involved in a diverse array of functions, including chemotaxis regulation, signal transduction, secretion and chitin.
Source: RNAcentral
GAAAAGGCAAACCCGUCGAAAGAUGGGGGCGCAAAGCCACGGGUCUACAGCCUCAGCAGGGUGAGGCCAGGACAGCCGGGUUGCCGAA